RNAcentral lists this ribosomal RNA (529 nucleotides) under uncultured bacterium. RNAcentral describes it as "bacterial SSU rRNA". It matches the Rfam family "Bacterial small subunit ribosomal RNA", at positions 979 to 1509 of the family's 1533-position model. The record is from RNAcentral.
CCUUGACAUCCAGAGAACUUAGCAGAGAUGCUUUGGUGCCUUCGGGAACUCUGAGACAGGUGCUGCAUGGCUGUCGUCAGCUCGUGUUGUGAAAUGUUGGGUUAAGUCCGCAACGAGCGCAACCCUUAUCCUUUGUUGCCAGCGGUUCGGCCGGGAACUCAAAGGAGACUGCCGGUGAUAAACCGGAGGAAGGUGGGGAUGACGUCAAGUCAUCAUGGCCCUUACGGCCAGGGCUACACACGUGCUACAAUGGCGCAUACAAAGAGAAGCGACCUCGCGAGAGCAAGCGGACCUCAUAAAGUGCGUCGUAGUCCGGAUUGGAGUCUGCAACUCGACUCCAUGAAGUCGGAAUCGCUAGUAAUCGUAGAUCAGAAUGCUACGGUGAAUACGUUCCCGGGCCUUGUACACACCGCCCGUCACACCAUGGGAGUGGGUUGCAAAAGAAGUAGGUAGCUUAACCUUCGGGAGGGCGCUUACCACUUUGUGAUUCAUGACUGGGGUGAAGUCGUAACAAGGUAGGCGUACGUGU